Molecule: ribosomal RNA, 853 nt
Filed under: Staphylococcus sp. A5.1
Lineage: Bacteria; Bacillati; Bacillota; Bacilli; Caryophanales; Staphylococcaceae
Description: bacterial SSU rRNA
Rfam family: Bacterial small subunit ribosomal RNA
Source: RNAcentral
GGGGUCCUAAUACAUGCAGUCGAGCGACAGACGAGGAGCUUGCUCCUCUGACGUUAGCGGCGGAUGGGUGAGUAACACGUGGAUAACCUACCUAUAAGACUGGGAUAACUUCGGGAAACCGGAGCUAAUACCGGAUAAUAUAUUGAACCGCAUGGUUCAAUAGUGAAAGACGGUUUUGCUGUCACUUAUAGAUGGAUCCGCGCCGCAUUAGCUAGUUGGUAAGGUAACGGCUUACCAAGGCAACGAUGCGUAGCCGACCUGAGAGGGUGAUCGGCCACACUGGAACUGAGACACGGUCCAGACUCCUACGGGAGGCAGCAGUAGGGAAUCUUCCGCAAUGGGCGAAAGCCUGACGGAGCAACGCCGCGUGAGUGAUGAAGGUCUUCGGAUCGUAAAACUCUGUUAUUAGGGAAGAACAAAUGUGUAAGUAACUAUGCACGUCUUGACGGUACCUAAUCAGAAAGCCACGGCUAACUACGUGCCAGCAGCCGCGGUAAUACGUAGGUGGCAAGCGUUAUCCGGAAUUAUUGGGCGUAAAGCGCGCGUAGGCGGUUUUUUAAGUCUGAUGUGAAAGCCCACGGCUCAACCGUGGAGGGUCAUUGGAAACUGGAAAACUUGAGUGCAGAAGAGGAAAGUGGAAUUCCAUGUGUAGCGGUGAAAUGCGCAGAGAUAUGGAGGAACACCAGUGGCGAAAGCGACUUUCUGGUCUGUAACUGACGCUGAUGUGCGAAAGCGUGGGGAUCAAACAGGAUUAGAUACCCUGGUAGUCCACGCCGUAAACGAUGAGUGCUAAGUGUUAGGGGGUUUCCGCCCCUUAGUGCUGCAGCUAACGCAUUAAGCACUCCGCCUGGGA